This is a non-coding RNA of Procambarus clarkii (red swamp crayfish), 324 nucleotides long. The record is from RefSeq and is a predicted model, not a curated record. NCBI's taxonomy places the organism in Eukaryota, Metazoa, Arthropoda, Malacostraca, Decapoda, Cambaridae.
UGGUGUUCCCGGCAGUGACAGUCUGCAACCUCAAUCCCCUGCCACGCAGCGACGUGGCGUUGGACACCGGCAUGUGGCAAGGCUUCGUGCAUAUUCAGAAUAGCACCGAGACGGACUGUGGCAUCGAUCUGAAAUUCUACUCUCCUCCAGAUGAAGAGGUUCAGACCCUUGACGACCCCUCCGCCACCAACCCUGAAGGUGGUGAAGGUACGGAUGCUGUGGACGCCGAAGACCCACCUGCUGCUCGCAAGAAGAGGUCGAUUUCUGGAGGUAAUCAGACGACACCUCGGGAGAUGAUUCAAUUCAUGGAUUUCGAGAACUUCA